Molecule: unclassified non-coding RNA, 279 nt
Filed under: plant metagenome
Description: partial contains small subunit ribosomal RNA, internal transcribed spacer 1, and 5.8S ribosomal RNA
Source: RNAcentral
UUUCCGUAGGUGAACCUGCGGAAGGAUCAUUAUUGAAUGAAACACUUCUGGCUUUAUGCUGUUGUGCUGGCCCUUUGGGCAAUGUGCACACGGCUCUGGUCACUUGUUUCUCCUGUUCCACCUGUGCACCGCCUGUAGACACGCUGGGUCUAUGAUAUUUGUUAACACACAACAAUGUUAGUUGGCAUGUUAUAUAUAAUAAUAAAAUAUACAACCUUCAACAACGGAUCUCUUGGCUCUCUCAUCGACGAAGAACGCAGCAGUCGGAAGAGCACACGU